Molecule: non-coding RNA, 114 nt
Organism: Acanthosepion pharaonis
Lineage: Eukaryota; Metazoa; Mollusca; Cephalopoda; Sepiida; Sepiidae
Source: the annotation of a GenBank genome assembly
UAUGGUCAUAUCACUUUGAAACACCGAUCCCCCAUAAGAUCAUCGAAGUUAAGCAACGUUGUGCCUGGUCAGUAUCUAGAUGGGUGGCCGCUUGGGAAUAUUAGGCGGUGUAAG